This 769-nucleotide ribosomal RNA is filed under the name Phytophthora vignae. RNAcentral describes it as "partial 28S ribosomal RNA". It matches the Rfam family "Eukaryotic large subunit ribosomal RNA", at positions 52 to 648 of the family's 3401-position model. The record is from RNAcentral. Lineage: Eukaryota; Oomycota; Peronosporomycetes; Peronosporales; Peronosporaceae.
GGAGGAAAAGAAACUAACAAGGAUUCCCCUAGUAACGGCGAGUGAAGCGGGAAGAGCUCAAGCUUAAAAUCUCCGUGCAAGUUUUGCGCGGCGAAUUGUAGUCUAUAGAGGCGUGGUCAGCGUGGGCGCUUGGGGCAAGUUCCUUGGAAGAGGACAGCAUGGAGGGUGAUACUCCCGUUCAUCCCUGAGUGGCUCGUGCGUACGACCCGUGUUCUUUGAGUCGCGUUGUUUGGGAAUGCAGCGCAAAGUAGGUGGUAAAUUCCAUCUAAAGCUAAAUAUUGGUGCGAGACCGAUAGCGAACAAGUACCGUGAGGGAAAGAUGAAAAGAACUUUGAAAAGAGAGUUAAAGAGUACCUGAAACUGCUGAAAGGGAACCGAAUCGUUUCCAGUGUCUAUAAUCCGUGGCAUAUUUCAUUGGCGAGUGUGCGCGUGCGUGUGCUGUGGCAGUGGCUUUUUUGGCUGCGCUCGGUGUGUGUGCUGUGUGUGCUUGCUGGUGCCCUGUGCUGCGGUGGGACGUCAAGGUCAGUUCGUAUGCUGCGGGAAAUGGCUGCCGAGGAGGUAGGGCUUACGCUCCGCGUUUGUCUGUUAUAUCUUGGUGGACGAGUCGUCGCGGUUGGGACUGAGGUGCCUACAACGUGCUUUUGAGUGGGUUUGUGUCUCCGUGUGCGCCGUGUGCGGAUAGCUUGCUAUGCGUGUGUGGUUGUGUGUGGAUUGAUGCGGGCUUUAACUUGUCGCCGUUCGGGACGUUGACGAAAUGGAGCGAUCCGAC